UACGUAGGGCGCAAGCGUUUGUCCGGAAUUAUUGGGCGUAAAGAGCUCGUAGGCGGUUUGUCGCGUCUGCUGUGAAAACCUAAGGCUCAACCUCGGGCCUGCAGUCGAUACGGGCAAACUAGAGUUCGGUAGGGGAGACUGGAAUUCCUGGUGUAGCGGUGGAAUGCGCAGAGUAAUCAGGAGGAACACCGGUGGCGAAGGCGGGUCUCUGGGCCGAAACUGACGCUGAGGAGCGAAAGCGUGGGGAGCGAACAGG
Molecule: ribosomal RNA, 256 nt
Filed under: uncultured bacterium
Lineage: Bacteria
Description: partial 16S ribosomal RNA
Rfam family: Bacterial small subunit ribosomal RNA
Source: RNAcentral